UUUGACUCAACACGGGAAACCUCACCAGGCCUAGACAUCGGAAGGAUUGACAGCUCUAUCUUAAUUCGGUGGGUGGUGGUGCAUGGCCGCCGUUCUUAGUUAGUGCAGCGAUUUGUCUGGUUAAUUCCGAUAACGAACGAGACUCUAGUCUAUUAAUUAGGCCUAUUCUCGGCAUUUCAAAGGCGCGCUGAUCCGGCGUUCUCGUCGCGACCGUGUGCGGUUUUUACUGUCGGCGUACAAAUAAUUCUUGUAAGAGGGACAGGCGGCGUUUAGCCACACGAGAUUAAGCAAUAAUGCUGAACCUCCGUCCGUUUGU
This 316-nucleotide non-coding RNA is filed under the name Oryctes borbonicus. RNAcentral's name for it is "Eukaryotic small subunit ribosomal RNA". It matches the Rfam family "Eukaryotic small subunit ribosomal RNA", at positions 1194 to 1478 of the family's 1831-position model. The record is from Rfam by way of RNAcentral. Lineage: Eukaryota; Metazoa; Arthropoda; Insecta; Coleoptera; Scarabaeidae.